This 373-nucleotide ribosomal RNA is filed under the name uncultured bacterium. Its description in RNAcentral is "bacterial SSU rRNA". It matches the Rfam family "Bacterial small subunit ribosomal RNA", at positions 525 to 896 of the family's 1533-position model. The record is from RNAcentral.
ACGAAGGUCCCAAGCGUUGUUCGGAAUCAUUGGGCGUAAAGCGAGUGCGGGUGGCUUUUUAAGUCAGGAGUGAAAGCCCAGGGCUCAACCCUGGAAGUGCUUUUGAUACUGGAAAGCUUGAAUGUGGCAGAGGGUGCUAGAAUACCUAGUGUAGUGGUGAAAUACGUAGAUAUUAGGUGGAACACCGGUGGCGAAGGCGGGCACCUGGGCCAACAUUGACACUUAGACUCGAAAGCGUGGGGAUCAAACAGGAUUAGAUACCCUGGUAGUCCACGCCGUAAACGAUGGAUACUUGGUGUUGGAGGUAUUGACCCCUUCAGUGCCGAAGCUAACGCGUUAAGUAUCCCGCCUGGGAAGUACGGUCGCAAGAUUA